This is a long non-coding RNA of Mytilus californianus (California mussel), 544 nucleotides long. RefSeq lists it as uncharacterized. Lineage: Eukaryota; Metazoa; Mollusca; Bivalvia; Mytilida; Mytilidae. The record is from RefSeq and is a predicted model, not a curated record. The transcript has 3 exons.
AUCCAUGCUCAAUUAUGUACCUUGCCUUGACGCAACUGGGUUUAAAUGAUGAAAGUUGAUAAAUACGGAUGUGACCUCACAUCCUACAGGUAGAUAACUACCGGAACUGUCGUAUUUUAUCAUAUAGUACUUUCGAUUUGAAAGAUCAUCAAUACAAAAUUAAGUACCCAAAAGAUUAGUCAGAUCUUCAAUAUCCCCACGACAAUGGCGACACCAUCGGCAAAACAUACAACUUUUGUCGGUAGAUCUAUAAAAGGUAUUGGAGUAGGAGAAGUGCCAGGAAUCGGUGAUAAAUCUAAAGAAAGACUCGGUAAAAAGGAAAUUACUAAAGCACAACAGCUUUUGGGUCAUUGCUUAGUACUUGAUAUGGACAGAGAAAAGUGUAAAAAUUUUCUUCAGACAUUCGGAAUGAACGAAAAGCAACAGACUGAUGCAUUCAACGCUUUGAAUGGUUGGGCCGACCAGCAUCUUUAGAAACUAAAAGUAUAGACAUAUCACCAUGCAACAAUUUAAUUUUUUAUUCACCAAUAAAUGAAUAAAUGUU